Molecule: long non-coding RNA, 982 nt
Organism: Vigna radiata var. radiata (mung bean)
Lineage: Eukaryota; Viridiplantae; Streptophyta; Magnoliopsida; Fabales; Fabaceae
Exons: 3
Source: RefSeq, a predicted model, not a curated record
CUUAUCUUUCUUAAGUUUGUAUUUGAUUGGAGGAUGAAUUUAGAAAAGUGAAAAAAAAAUGAUUUUGAAAAAUAAAAGUAAAAAUGAAGUUAUUUAAAUUAAAAGAAAGAUGGAAGAAAAUGUUAAGAGAUUAUUUUAUUAUUAUCUUUAAAAUUAAUUUAAACUAAAGUAUUGUAAAGGUUUAGAAAAGAGUCAGUAUAAAAGAGAGUGACAGAUGGCAAACAGAUAAGAGGUUGAACAUUUUAAAAUAAAAUUACAUUUGUAUGAAACGCUAAUUUUAGUUCAUUUUCUCUUAUCUGAGAAACCAUUGUCUCCACUACAAGCUCUCUUCUUCUACUCUACCUUUUUUCCACCUUAAUUUCAUAUUGAACCGUUGAAUUGUUGAACAAAAGCUAUCUAGGCGAUCAGGACUUCAAGAGCAACAAAAUCAAUCGAUCAAUUUUCCUUUUUUUAACAUGUAUUCUUGAAAGCGAUUGGGGUCUCUUGUGAGCUUAACUGUUUGAGUUAGAGAGAAGUGUCUCCAAAAGAUUUUGUGGAGUGACCGAACGGUCGAGGAAUCGUCUGGAAAGACAUUACCAAAUGGCUCAUGAUGAAUGGCCGAUCAUAAUCUACGGUUUAGAACGAGAUUAAGGUAAGAUGUGAUUAAAGCCAUUGGGUCGUGAUUAAGGUUCCGCUAAUAAUAAUCUCAUGGCAAAAACUAUAAAUACAGGUCAAAAGUAUGAGGUAGGUAGUUCACAUUUACUACAUAUUUAUUAUUGUCCUAAAUUUACUGUGUGGAAUGUACACUGACUUGAGCGUCGAAGAAUCUUUGGCAGGUACCCUACCGGCCGGUCUUGAGAAGAAUGAGACGGAAGAGGAUGACCGGACGGUAACUAAAGAACACGAAGGAAGCAUCAGACAACUGUAAAUACAAAUUAUGGAAAUGUAGAUAGUGACUCGACCUCGCAAUCGAAACAAUUGUUAUUUAUUAUGUUAUAUUAUA